This 420-nucleotide ribosomal RNA is filed under the name uncultured bacterium. RNAcentral describes it as "partial 16S ribosomal RNA". It matches the Rfam family "Bacterial small subunit ribosomal RNA", at positions 360 to 773 of the family's 1533-position model. The record is from RNAcentral.
AAUAUUGGACAAUGGGGGCAACCCUGAUCCAGCCAUGCCGCGUGUGUGAAGAAGGUCUUCGGAUUUUAAAGCACUUUAAGUUGGGAGGAAGGGCUUUAGGUUAAUACCCUGAAGUUUUGACGUUACCAACAGAAUAAGCACCGUCUAACUCUGUGCCAGCAGCCGCGGUAAUACAGAGGGUUCAAGCGUUAAUCGGAAUUACUGGGCGUAAAGGGGGGGUAGGUGUUUAGGUAGGAUGGGUGUGAAAUCCCGGGGCUUAACUUGGGACUGGCUUUAAAAACGCUUAAGCAAGAGAACGGUAGAGGGUAGGGGAUUUUCUGGUGAAGGGUUAAAAGCCGUAGAAUAAGGAAGAACACCAGGGGGCAAGGGGAAUUACCGGGAUGAAUCCUGAACUUGAGGUGCGAAGCCGUGGGAGCAAAC